This 253-nucleotide ribosomal RNA is filed under the name uncultured bacterium. RNAcentral describes it as "partial 16S ribosomal RNA". It matches the Rfam family "Bacterial small subunit ribosomal RNA", at positions 524 to 776 of the family's 1533-position model. The record is from RNAcentral.
UACGUAGGUGGCAAGCGUUGUCCGGAUUUACUGGGCGUAAAGAGCGCGCAGGCGGUCGUUCAAGUCGAGUGUGAAAGCCCCCGGCUCAACUGGGGAGGGUCACUCGAUACUGAUCGACUCGAAGGCAGAAGAGGGAAGCGGAAUUCCCGGUGUAGUGGUGAAAUGCGUAGAUAUCGAGAGGAACACCAGUGGCGAAGGCGAGUCCCUGGACAACACCUGACACUGAGGCACGAAAGCUAGGGGAGCAAACGGG